RNAcentral lists this ribosomal RNA (300 nucleotides) under Miyakella nepa. RNAcentral describes it as "partial 12S ribosomal RNA". The record is from RNAcentral. Lineage: Eukaryota; Metazoa; Arthropoda; Malacostraca; Stomatopoda; Squillidae.
CCCGGGUAGUAUAUAGCUAUUAUCUCGAAACCCAAAGAGUUUGGCGGUACCUCAGUCUAGUUAGAGGAGUUUGUUCCGUAAUCGAUAAUCCGCGAAGUAUCUUACGUGUUUUUGUCAUCAGUUUAUAUACCGUCGUUAUUAGAUAAUAUUAAAAGGUGAAUAAUUAUCUAAAUAUAUCAAAAUAUAAUAUAUCAGAUCAAGGUGUAGCUUAUAAACACGUCCGAAUGAACUACAAUUUAUAAAUAUAAAAACGGAUUUUGUUUUUAAAUAAAUAAUUAAAGGUGGAUUUAAUAGUAAUUG